GGAAGCGGCGAGUCUCCAUGGCGGCGGCGGCGGCGGCGCCGGUGUUCUGGAGGCGGCUGCUGGGUCUGCUGCCGGGCCGGCCCGGGCUGGCCGCGCUCCUGGGGCGCCUGUCCGACCGCCUGGGCAGGAGCCGGGACCGCCGGCGCAGGUCACCAUGGCUGCUGUUGGCUCCCUUGCUAUCUCCAGCUGUCCCCCAGGCCACCUCCCCACCUUGCUGCCUGUGUCCAGAAGGUGUGCACCGGUUUCAGUGGAUCAGAAGCCUGGUUCCAGAGUUCGGCGUCUGUAGCUCUCAUGUCAGGGUGCUGUCCUCCCCAGCAGAGUUCUUCCAGCUCAUGAAGGGGCAGAUAAAAGUAGCCAAGAGGCGGGUCGUGAUGGCAUCUCUCUACCUGGGGACAGGUCCUUUGGAGCAAGAGCUGGUGGAUUGCCUGGAAAGUACUCUAGAAGAGUCUCUGCAAGCAAAAUUUCCAUCUGACCUCAAGGUCUCCAUUCUCCUGGAUUUCACCCGGGGCUCAAGAGGCAAAAAGAACUCUCGCACAAUGUUGCUUCCACUCCUGCAGAGGUUUCCAGAGCAAGUGCGCGUCUCCCUCUUCCACACGCCCGACCUCCGUGGUCUUCUCCGGCUCCUUGUCCCUGAGCGCUUCAAUGAGACCAUUGGCCUCCAGCACAUCAAAGUAUACCUCUUUGAUAACAGUGUCAUCUUGAGCGGUGCAAACCUGAGUGACUCCUACUUCACCAACCGCCAGGACCGCUACGUGUUCUUGCAGGACUGUGCGGAGAUUGCCGACUUCUUCACGGAACUGGUGGAUGCAGUGGGAGACGUGUCCCUACAGCUGCAGGGGGACAACACGGUGCAGGUGGUGGAUGGAAUGGUGCAUCCUUACAAAGGUGACCGGGCUGCAUACUGCAAGGCCGCCAAUAAGCGGGUCAUGGAUGUGAUCCACUCCGCCCGGACUCGCCAGCAGAUGCUGCAUGCCCAGACCUUCCACGGGGACUCCUUACUGACACAGGAGGAGGCAGCAGCUGCUGGUGAUCGCAGACCAGCACCCGACACCUGGAUUUAUCCAUUGAUACAGAUGAAGCCCUUUGAGAUCCAGAUUGAUGAGAUUGUCACAGAGACCCUGCUGACUGAGGCUGAGCGAGGUGCUAGGGUCUACCUUACAACGGGCUACUUCAAUCUGACCCAGGCCUACAUGGACCUGGUCUUGGGUACACGGGCAGAGUACCAGAUCCUGCUGGCCUCUCCAGAGGUGAAUGGCUUCUUUGGAGCCAAGGGGGUGGCAGGUGCCAUCCCUGCAGCCUAUGUGCACAUUGAGCGGCAGUUCUAUAGCGAGGUGUGCAGCCUGGGGCAGCAGGAGCGAGUUCAGCUACAGGAAUACUGGAGGAGGGGCUGGACAUUCCAUGCCAAAGGCCUCUGGCUGUACCUGGCAGGGAGCAGCCUGCCCUGUCUCACGCUGAUUGGCUCUCCUAAUUUUGGGUACAGGUCAGUUCACCGGGACCUGGAGGCCCAGAUCGCCAUCGUGACAGAGAGCCGAUCCCUGCAGCAGCAGCUCCACCAGGAGCAAGAGCAGCUCUACUUGCGGUCAGGUGUGGUGUCCUCUGCCACCUUUGAGCAGCCCAGUCGGCAGGUGAAGCUGUGGGUGAAGAUGGUGACUCCACUGAUCAAGAACUUCUUCUGAGGACGCCAGGAUGUUGCUGAGUUGCUGAGGCUGGCCUUGAACUUGCAAUCCUCCUGCCUCAGCCUCCUGGGUUGCUGGGAUUACAGGAAUGGCUUUGAUGAAGAUGACAGGCAUGGCCGGCGUCAGCUCCUUCAGACGCGCUUCAGCGAUGACUCCAGUCUGGGUGUCCCAGCGAGCUCCUGCAGGGACAGCGUGGCCGAGGGUCAGGGCAGCCCUGGUGCAGCGAACAGGUCUUGUCUGGUGUGCUGGCAGUGAGGGGAGGGGCCCACAGGGAGAGGCCUGGCCUCACACCCCCCCCCCCAACCCUUUGCAAGGAGGUCAGUGCCCCUGAGACUCCUGAAGAGUUGAGGCCAGGUGCCAAGGGCAGGGGGUGCAGGUGUCCACAGAGGACACUGUGGGUGGUGGUGGCAUGCUGUGGUGCCCCGGGCAUCUCGCUGUGCACUGAGGAACAGCUCCGCACUAAUGCUCUUGGGUUCCAUCCAUUUAAAUUUGUGGUGUUUCCAGAGCCUCGUCUGUCGGCCUUCUCACUUUCAGUGGCAAGAAAUCAUAACUCCAACUGAAGAUCACCAAGUUCCCUGACUCCCUCGUGUGUCACGUCUAGCCUGUGUGUCCAUAUGCAGCAUAAUCAUCUAUGUGCAUAUAUAAAUAUUAUUUGCCUUUAACCAGACUGCUGCCAUUUCUACUCAUCAUAUUCAAUAAUGUUUGUACUUUGUCUGGAAUUCCAAAAUAAAUGUGGGGAACGGC
Marmota monax (woodchuck) is the source of this 2420-nucleotide RNA transcript. It is a transcript of the gene named phosphatidylglycerophosphate synthase 1, with no coding region annotated. NCBI's taxonomy places the organism in Eukaryota, Metazoa, Chordata, Mammalia, Rodentia, Sciuridae. The record is from RefSeq and is a predicted model, not a curated record. The transcript has 11 exons.